This 566-nucleotide long non-coding RNA is filed under the name Ictidomys tridecemlineatus (thirteen-lined ground squirrel). RNAcentral's name for it is "lncRNA (ENSSTOG00000034584.1)". Lineage: Eukaryota; Metazoa; Chordata; Mammalia; Rodentia; Sciuridae. The record is from RNAcentral.
AUGACUACAUCUAACAUCAAGGAGUCUGGCAAGUUUAAUCCUCUUGGGUGUCUGCAAGGAGGCAAGAACCAGAAACAUGGAGGUAGUUUGUUUGCCACUGAUGCUUCAGUUGCAACACAACAUGGCACCUGCCUUCAAGACAUCAGAACUGUGACCAUCAACGUCUCCUAUUUUUUCAGGUCUGUCAGAACCAAUUCCAGCUAGCUCCAGGCAUUUUCAACUGCCAUCACCUGCAUUUCUGGUCCCAGAAACCAUGGAAAUCUACUUGGUCUACUCAGUUGACUGGAUGUGCUUUCUAGCAUCCCCUAGCCAAAAUAAAUGCCCUAAUUACUUCCCGAAUGGAAAAAUUAUGAGGAAUUUUCUUUAGAGGAAUAAUAAUGCUGCUUUCAUUAGCUUACUCUCCUUGCCUGAAUUAUUUCUCCACUCCUCUGUUGUUCCCUGUGUCUCUCCAAUAACUUUAGGGGAAACCUGAAUAAAACAGGUGCUCUCAGUCUAAUGAUGGAGAUGGACAGAGAAAUAAAUAGUUGUACAGGCUGAGCAUCCUUAAUCUGAAAAUUUGAAACCCA